GAUGAACGCUGGCGGCGUGCCUAAUACAUGCAAGUCGAGCGAGAGAUUACUUUUAGAUUCUUUCGGGAUGAAGAAAGUAGUGGAAAGCGGCGGACGGGUGAGUAACGCGUGGGCAACCUACCUUUUACAGGGGGACAACAUUUUGAAAAAGAUGCUAAUACCGCAUAAGCAGUAAGUACCGCAUGGUACAAAUUGGAAAACUACGGUGGUAAAAGAUGGGCCCGCGUCUGAUUAGCUAGUUGGUGAGAUAACAGCUCACCAAGGCGACGAUCAGUAGCCGACCUGAGAGGGUGAUCGGCCACAUUGGGACUGAGACACGGCCCAAACUCCUACGGGAGGCAGCAGUAGGGAAUAUUGCACAAUGGGGGAAACCCUGAUGCAGCGACGCCGCGUGAAGGAAGAAGGUUUUCGGAUCGUAAACUUCUAUCAGCAGUGAAGACAAUGACAGUAACUGACUAAGAAGCCCCGGCUAACUACGUGCCAGCAGCCGCGGUAAUACGUAGGGGGCAAGCGUUAUCCGGAAUUACUGGGUGUAAAGGGUGCGUAGGCGGUAAUGCAAGUCAGAUGUGAAAUUCCUGAGCUCAACUCAGGGCGUGCAUUUGAAACUGCAUAACUAGAAUACAGGAGAGGUAAGUGGAAUUCCUAGUGUAGCGGUGAAAUGCGUAGAUAUUAGGAAGAACACCGGUGGCGAAGCGGCUUACUGGACUGAGAUUGACGCUGAUGCACGAAAGCGUGGGGAGCAAACAGG
RNAcentral lists this ribosomal RNA (748 nucleotides) under uncultured bacterium. RNAcentral's name for it is "bacterial SSU rRNA". It matches the Rfam family "Bacterial small subunit ribosomal RNA", at positions 28 to 776 of the family's 1533-position model. The record is from RNAcentral.